RNAcentral lists this small RNA (104 nucleotides) under bovine gut metagenome. RNAcentral's name for it is "RT-5 RNA". It matches the Rfam family "RT-5 RNA". Rfam says of the family: Clostridium (Firmicutes). The record is from RNAcentral.
UUGCGCCUGCUGAAGGACGCAGCAUCGCCCGUAACAAUGCCUUGCAGGCGGCAGGACGAUGUACCCGUCCCGUGAUCAGCAAUUUUGCUGAUUCAAAAUCUUUC